CCUACGGGAGGCAGCAGUGGGGAAUAUUGCACAAUGGGGGAAACCCUGAUGCAGCGACGCCGCGUGAGUGAGGAAGUAUUUCGGUAUGUAAAGCUCUAUCAGCAGGGAAGAAAAUGAUGAUACUUGACUAAGAAGCCCCGGCUAACUACGUGCUAGCAGCCGCGGUAAUAAGACGGGGGCAAGCGUUAUCCGGAUUGACUGCGUGUAAAGGGAGCGUAGUAGGCUGAUCAAGUCAGAAGUGAAAACGCAGGGCUCAACCUGGGGACUGCUUUUGAAACUGCUUAGCUAGAGUGCAGGAGAGGUAAGCGGAAUUCCUAGUGUAGCGGUGAAAUGCGUAGAUAUUAGGAAGAACACCAGUGGCGAAGGCGGCUUACUGGACUGUAACUGACGUUGAGGCUCGAAAGCGUGGGGAGCAAACAGGAUUAGAUACCCUGGUAGUC
RNAcentral lists this ribosomal RNA (440 nucleotides) under uncultured bacterium. RNAcentral describes it as "partial 16S ribosomal RNA". It matches the Rfam family "Bacterial small subunit ribosomal RNA", at positions 338 to 795 of the family's 1533-position model. The record is from RNAcentral.